CUACGGGGCGCUGCAGUGGGGAAUAUUGGACAAUGGGGGCAACCCUGAUCCAGCGAUGCCGCGUGUGCGAUGAAGGCCUGCGGGUUGUAAAGCACUUUUAGUGGGGACAAAAUACUCAAAGCUAAUAACUUUGAGGGUUGAUUUAACCCAAAGAAAAAGCACCGGCUAACUCUGUGCCAGCAGCCGCGGUAAUACAGAGGGUGCAAGCGUUAAUCGGAGUUGACUGGGCGUAAAGGGCGCGUAGGCGGAUUUUUAAGUCGGGUGUGAAAUCCCUGGGCUCAACCUAGGAAUUGCAUUCGAUAGUGGAAGUAUCGAGUAUGGUAGAGGAAGGCAGAAUUCCCGGUGUAGUGGUAAAAUACGUAGAUAUCGGGAAGAACACCAAUGGCGAAGGCAGCCUUCUGGACCAAUACUGACGCUGAGGCGCGAAAGCGUGGGGAGCAAACAGGAUUAGAUACCCGGGUAGUC
RNAcentral lists this ribosomal RNA (465 nucleotides) under uncultured bacterium. RNAcentral describes it as "partial 16S ribosomal RNA". It matches the Rfam family "Bacterial small subunit ribosomal RNA", at positions 339 to 795 of the family's 1533-position model. The record is from RNAcentral.